Molecule: ribosomal RNA, 422 nt
Filed under: uncultured bacterium
Lineage: Bacteria
Description: bacterial SSU rRNA
Rfam family: Bacterial small subunit ribosomal RNA
Source: RNAcentral
UGAGGAAUAUUGGACAAUGGGCGAAAGCCUGAUCCAGCCAUGCCGCGUGAUGGAUGAAGGCCCUAUGGGUUGUAAACAGCUUUUGUACGGGAAGAAACUCUCCUAUUCUAAGGAGCUUGACGGUACCGGAGGAAUAAGCACCGGCUAACUCCGUGCCAGCAGCCGCGGUAAUACGGAGGGUGCAAGCGUUAUCCGGAUUCAUUGGGUUUAAAGGGUGCGUAGGCGGGUUAAUAAGUCAGUGGUGAAAGCUCAUCGCUUAACGAUGGAACUGCCAUUGAUACUGCUAGUCUUGAAUUACAAAGAAGUAACCAGAAUAUGUAGUGUAGCGGUGAAAUGCUUAGAUAUUAUACGGAACACCAAUUGCGAAGGCAGCUUACUAUGUGUUGAUUGACGCUGAUGCACGAAAGCGUGGGGAGCAAACA